Molecule: ribosomal RNA, 495 nt
Filed under: uncultured bacterium
Lineage: Bacteria
Description: partial 16S ribosomal RNA
Rfam family: Bacterial small subunit ribosomal RNA
Source: RNAcentral
GACGAACGCUGGCGGCGUGCCUAAUACAUGCAAGUAGAACGCUGAAGGAGGAGCUUGCUUCUCUGGAUGAGUUGCGAACGGGUGAGUAACGCGUAGGUAACCUGCCUGGUAGCGGGGGAUAACUAUUGGAAACGAUAGCUAAUACCGCAUAAGAGUAGAUGUUGCAUGACAUUUGCUUAAAAGGUGCAAUUGCAUCACUACCAGAUGGACCUGCGUUGUAUUAGCUAGUUGGUGGGGUAACGGCUCACCAAGGCGACGAUACAUAGCCGACCUGAGAGGGUGAUCGGCCCCCCUGGGACUGUGACACGGCCCAGACUCCUACGGGAGGCAGCAGUAGGGAAUCUUCGGCAAUGGACGGAAGUCUGACCGAGCAACGCCGCGUGAGUGAAGAAGGUUUUCGGAUCGUAAAGCUCUGUUGUAAGAGAAGAACGAGUGUGAGAGUGGAAAGUUCACACUGUGACGGUAUCUUACCAGAAAGGGACGGCUAACUACGUG